UUACAUUGCACUAAAUACACAAUACCAAAGACAACUUCUGCAUCCCAAUUCGCUUACUAUCCAUACAACAUAGCAUCUGAGAUUAGAAUUAGUGUGUCCCAAAUCCUAGUAUGUUGAAAUGAGGAUCCCAAAGGGACCCGGAUUGGACUAUUUCCGGUAGAUUUUUCGAAGUGUGUAUCUAUGGACACUUUUUCAGUUAAUAUUGCCCACAACUCCUUGUGUGAGGGAGGAAGAGUUUUGAGAUGAUUUGCUUUUUGACGUAUUUAAGAGAGGAGUAAAUGAAAUCCAUCCGUCCGUCCAUCCAUUUUCCACAGGGCCGUGGGGGAGCCUGGAGCCCAGGGCGGGGGACACCCGGUGCAGAGUGGCAGGGCACGAUUGCACACACAUCCACGGCCAAUUUGGAAAUGCCAAAUGAGCGUACAAUGUAUGUCUUUGGACUAGGGGAGGAAAACGGAGUACACGGAGGUAACCCCCGAGACACGGGCAGAACAUGCAAACUCUGCGCACACAGGGCGGAGGCAGGAUUCCAACCCCCAACCCCAGAGUACGCACGUUAUCCUGGUCAGGGUUGUGGAGGAUCCGGAGCCUAUCCUGGGAGCACCGGGUGCAAGGCAGGAGAACGCCAUACUCCAGGUGGGACGCCAGUGCGUAAGAGGGCACCAUGCACUCAUACACUCACAAUGACUUUUUUGGGACAGUGGAAGGAAAAGCAGAGAACCUGGGGGAAACCCACAUGAACACAGGGAGAACAUACAAAGCACGGACAGAGACGCAAGCUCGGGAUCGAACCUAGGACCCUGGAGACAUGAGGAGGCGACGCUACCUCAUUAACAAUGCUAAUAACAACACUGUCCAUGUACUUUGAGAUCGGUUACGGAUGUUUUGGAAUGGUUUACUCCGACUGUAGCGGAAACCGAGUGUGAACUGGACUGGGCUGCAGGACAGGCGUUCACGCCCGGAGUGAGUGCGUCUCCCUCCACCAGCACGUGACAGGACUUCCUUAGGACUUUCGCUUUUUCCCUGUAAAGUGCGACACUCUCUUUCACACACACCGCUCCCAGUCCUUCUUAAAGCAUGGCACACAACACACCACUCCCAGGCUGUAAUCUUUAUGAUAUCGCCUGCACUGAGUGAACAUUAAACCCUAAUAAAAAGCUUCACGUACUAGUUCAAAACCAUCAAAGCACAACGCCAGUCCAAACACACGUCUUCUGUAUGAUGUUACACUCCUA
Ictalurus furcatus (blue catfish) is the source of this 1232-nucleotide long non-coding RNA. RefSeq lists it as uncharacterized. The transcript is spliced from 3 exons. The record is from RefSeq and is a predicted model, not a curated record. Lineage: Eukaryota; Metazoa; Chordata; Actinopteri; Siluriformes; Ictaluridae.